Molecule: ribosomal RNA, 253 nt
Filed under: uncultured bacterium
Lineage: Bacteria
Description: partial 16S ribosomal RNA
Rfam family: Bacterial small subunit ribosomal RNA
Source: RNAcentral
GACAGAGGGCGCAAGCGUUGUUCGGAAUUAUUGGGCGUAAAGGGCGCGUAGGCGGUCUUGCACGUCAUAUGUGAAAUCCCAGGGCUUAACCCUGGAAGUGCAUCUGAUACUGCUCGACUUGAGUCCCGGAGAGGGUGGUGGAAUUCCCAGUGUAGAGGUGAAAUUCGUAGAUAUCCGCAGGAACACCAGUGGCGAAAGCGGCCACCUGGACUGCACCUGACGCUGACACGCGAAAGCUAGGGGAGCGAACGGG